Molecule: transfer RNA, 73 nt
Filed under: Camelus bactrianus (Bactrian camel)
Lineage: Eukaryota; Metazoa; Chordata; Mammalia; Artiodactyla; Camelidae
Also listed under: 3 other names
Rfam family: tRNA
About the family: Transfer RNA (tRNA) molecules are approximately 80 nucleotides in length. Their secondary structure includes four short double-helical elements and three loops (D, anti-codon, and T loops). Further hydrogen bonds mediate the characteristic L-shaped molecular structure. tRNAs have two regions of fundamental functional importance: the anti-codon, which is responsible for specific mRNA codon recognition, and the 3' end, to which the tRNAs corresponding amino acid is attached (by aminoacyl-tRNA synthetases). tRNAs cope with the degeneracy of the genetic code in two manners: having more than one tRNA (with a specific anti-codon) for a particular amino acid; and 'wobble' base-pairing, i.e. permitting non-standard base-pairing at the 3rd anti-codon position.
Source: Rfam by way of RNAcentral
GGGGGUAUAGCUCAGGCGGUAGAGCACAUGAUAAGCAUGCACAAGGUCCUGGGUUCAAUCCCCAGUACUUCCU